This 349-nucleotide ribosomal RNA is filed under the name Vespa analis. Its description in RNAcentral is "partial small subunit ribosomal RNA". The record is from RNAcentral. Lineage: Eukaryota; Metazoa; Arthropoda; Insecta; Hymenoptera; Vespidae.
AAUAAAAGUAAAAAUAUUAUAGAAGAAAUUAAAUGAUAAACCAUUAAAUUUAAAAGAUUUGGCAGUAUUUAAUAUUUAGAGGAACCUGUAUAGUAAUUGAUGAUCCACGAUAAGAUAUACUUAAUUGAAAUUUUUAUGUAUUGCUGUUUUAAAUAUUUGAUUAAGUUAGAUAGGAAUAUAAUUUAUAAGAUUAAUAAUAAAAUAAUUCAAGUCAAAAUAUAGAUUAGUUAAGAUUAAUAUGGGUUACAAUUAAUUAAAUUAUUGAAUUAAGGAAUUUAAUUUUUUUAUGAAAAUGGAUUUAAAAGUAAAUUUAAUAAAUUAAUUAGGUUGAAUAUUAAAUUAAAUAUGU